UACAGAGGGUGCAAGCGUUAAUCGGAAUUACUGGGCGUAAAGCGCGCGUAGGCGGCUGUCUAAGUCGGAUGUGAAAUCCCCGGGCUCAACCUGGGAACUGCAUUUGUGACUGCAUAGCUAGAGUACGGUAGAGGGGGAUGGAAUUCCGCGUGUAGCAGUGAAAUGCGUAGAUAUGCGGAGGAACACCGAUGGCGAAGGCGACUCACUGGUCCGGUACUGACGCUGAGACGCGAAAGCGUGGGGAGCGAACAGG
This 253-nucleotide ribosomal RNA is filed under the name uncultured bacterium. RNAcentral's name for it is "partial 16S ribosomal RNA". It matches the Rfam family "Bacterial small subunit ribosomal RNA", at positions 524 to 776 of the family's 1533-position model. The record is from RNAcentral.